UACGGGGGGGGCAAGCGUUGUUCGGAAUUACUGGGCGUAAAGGGCUCGUAGGCGGCCAACUAAGUCAGACGUGAAAUCCCUCGGCUUAACCGGGGAACUGCGUCUGAUACUGGUUGGCUUGAAUCCGGGAGAGGGAUGUGGAAUUCCAGGUGUAGCGGUGGAAUGCGCAGAUAUCAGGAGGAACACCAAUAGCGAAGGCAGCUCGCUGGGACGGUACUGACGCUAAGGCGCGAAAGCGUGGGGAGCGAACAGG
Molecule: ribosomal RNA, 253 nt
Filed under: uncultured bacterium
Lineage: Bacteria
Description: partial 16S ribosomal RNA
Rfam family: Bacterial small subunit ribosomal RNA
Source: RNAcentral